AAACGAACAUCGUCUUCAAGUGGUCAGAUGCUGUUUUAGUUUCGAUUUGAGGGUGUUUAUCUACUUUCUAUGGCCUUACACAGCUGGAACUGGAGCAGAUAUCUUGAGCUGUCAACAUUUCUCUGAUCUUUCCAAUUGUCAUUGGAAACUUCAGCAGAUGCAGAAGAUCACGACUGCAGUGACAAUCCACAGAGAUCCAACAACAGCAGAAACCAGCACUAUCAGAGAUACAGAGACUGGAGGAACUGAAGAAGAGUAAAAGAGAGACAGUCAUGAAUGUCUUGUAGACGUGCUGGUCCACGCUUCCUACAAGUGGGUGGCGGUAAUGCUCCAGCUCGUUUGUCAACCGCCACUAAACCGAAGAAGAAGAAGAAGAAGAAGAAGAAGAAGAAGAAGAAGAAGAAGAAGUAGAAGUAGAGGUACUAGUCAGACAGUUUAUUAGUUUCGUUUCUGAGGCUGUGUUUAUCUGCUUUCUCUGGCGGUUUUUAGGUUUACAACACCGACACAUUAGGUGGAGACACAUUCAUUUGAUGAUGGAUGCUAUUUACUUAAAACGCAACAACAUGACAGCUUUGCAGACCAACAAUCACAAAAGACAAACAAACACAAACAGACGAAAAGAUCCCUAGCAGACGGAUCUGAACGGAUGCUAGUGUUGUGGCGGGUGUGUUAUAAACAGUAGAGAGGGUUAUUUAGUGUCACUGCACACGUGUAUUAAUGUUUUAUUAUCAUGCAGCAUGAAAUACUCGACACAUUUGAUGCUCUUUAUUUGACUGUAAGACUGUUUUAUGUGACCACCGCUCAUGUUUGCGUGACGUCAUAAAACCGGGCGGCAUCGCUGUACCCCAGGAGGGGUGUACAUAGCGCCCUUGUGUCACUUUUAAAAAGUGUGACAACUUUACCGCAAAGUUUCAGUGUGUUCCAGACACGAAUGAUUCAUGUGUUCCCUUGUGUUGCUGAGGAGGGGUGUGCUGUUAUUUAAAGUGACCAGACUUAUGUUUUUCGAGGAGGAAUCAGGUGAAAAGUCCCUCCGAGACAUAUCUACAGACCAGAAUAUGACAGAGAAUUUAUCAUAUCAGUCAUGUGGGCUCUUCUGACCAGUAAACAACACAAACAGUUACACAGAGCACACUAGCAGCAGAAGUGAAGCUACAGGUUUUCAGCUGUGGCCCACCCACUGCAUUCAUUUCUGUGGUCCUCGAUAUCUACUCUCUGAACGUAAAACUGAGACACUUGAUUAUGAGAUCAUCUGCGAAGCCUCAUCGUCUAAGUUUUAUGAAGGACUACCCACUUAACAUUUCUGGCAUCACCCCCUGACUAACAGAUGAUGUUACACAGCUGGAACUGGAGCAGAUAUCGUGAGCUGUCAGCAUUUCUCUGAUCUUUACAAUGAUCACUGGAAACUUCAGAUGCAGAAGAUCAUGACUGCAGCUACAAUCAACAGAGAUCCAGCAACAGCUGCAGAGAUCAGCACUAUCAGAGACACAGAGACUGGAGGAACUGAUGAAGAGAAAAAGAGACAGUCAUGAAUGUAAGUGAUUAAAUCAGUCUUACCUACAACAGAAGACAGAGAUCAGAUCAGUAAAUAAACACAUAUAUCAGCUCUGCUGUACCUGAACAUGUGU
Molecule: long non-coding RNA, 1625 nt
Organism: Carassius auratus (goldfish)
Lineage: Eukaryota; Metazoa; Chordata; Actinopteri; Cypriniformes; Cyprinidae
Exons: 8
Source: RefSeq, a predicted model, not a curated record